GCCUACGGGGGGCAGCAGUGAGGAAUAUUGGUCAAUGGUCGGGAGACUGAACCAGCCAAGCCGCGUGGGGGAUGAAGGUACAGAGUAUCGUAAACCUCUUUUGUCAGGGAACAAAGGCGGGGACGCGUCCCCGGAUGAGUGUACCUGAAGAAAAAGCAUCGGCUAACUCCGUGCCAGCAGCCGCGGUAAUACGGAGGAUGCGAGCGUUAUCCGGAUUUAUUGGGUUUAAAGGGUGCGCAGGCGGUCUGUUAAGUCAGCGGUCAAAGCCCGGGGCUCCACCCCGGCCCGCCGUUGAAACUGGCAGU
RNAcentral lists this ribosomal RNA (305 nucleotides) under uncultured bacterium. RNAcentral's name for it is "bacterial SSU rRNA". It matches the Rfam family "Bacterial small subunit ribosomal RNA", at positions 337 to 640 of the family's 1533-position model. The record is from RNAcentral.